This is a long non-coding RNA of Exaiptasia diaphana, 590 nucleotides long. RefSeq lists it as uncharacterized. NCBI's taxonomy places the organism in Eukaryota, Metazoa, Cnidaria, Anthozoa, Actiniaria, Aiptasiidae. The record is from RefSeq and is a predicted model, not a curated record. The transcript is spliced from 3 exons.
UCCAUCUUUUGCACACUGUUCAGGGCAGAUCAUACCGCCGCAGGAAGCCUCGUUGGGAAUAUCCUUACCAGGAUACACCACGAGCCUCGUCAGAGAAGUUGUCCCAGUUUCUUUAAUACCUUUCCUAAUGUAACGCGAAGAAAAUUGAUGAAAACUGUUUACGAAGCAAAUCAGCUAUUUAUUACAUAAAUUGGCAAUCUUAGCAUGGAAGACAAGAAACAAGUGCUUGUAGUAUCUUUGCAAGGAGAAAGCGAUCCCGAUUACAAUGGGUUUCAAAAAUAUCUUUCGGAUAUCUACAUCCAAAUGGACACUCUAACUAAGGGUAGAGAUUAUCUAUUCAUUCUUCAUGACAAGUCUGGCCGACGAUAUUUAGAUCACCAUGUUUUCAAGAACGCUCAUCUCAUUGAAGUGGAUCCAUUCGUAGACAUGUGGGUGAGAGAUUUUCCACCAACGGUCCCAGAACGUCAAGUCAAAUUUAUAUACCAACCAGGGUAUCUUAAACCAUCUCAAGCAAAGAGAGACGAGGACUCUUUUGAUGCGUUUGGAAAGCAGGUUGAUUUGCCGCCAUUGGAUCACUGCAACAUCAUCCU